This 397-nucleotide ribosomal RNA is filed under the name uncultured bacterium. RNAcentral describes it as "partial 16S ribosomal RNA". It matches the Rfam family "Bacterial small subunit ribosomal RNA", at positions 523 to 918 of the family's 1533-position model. The record is from RNAcentral.
AUACGUAGGGGGCGAGCGUUGUCCGGAAUGAUUGGGCGUAAAGGGCGCGUAGGCGGCGCGGUAAGUCUGGAGUGAAAGUCCUGCUUUCAAGGUGGGAAUUGCUUUGGAUACUGCCGCGCUUGAGUGCAGGAGAGGUUAUCGGAAUUCCCGGUGUAGCGGUGAAAUGCGUAGAGAUCGGGAGGUACACCAGUGGCGAAGGCGGGUAACUGGACUGCAACUGACGCUGAGGCGCGAAAGUGUGGGGAGCAAACAGGAUUAGAUACCCUGGUAGUCCACGCGGUAAACGAUGAAUGCUAGGUGUUGCGGGUAUCGACCCCUGCAGUGCCGGAGUAAACACAAUAAGCAUUCCGCCUGGGGAGUACGGCCGCAAGGUUGAAACUCAAAUGAAUUGGCGGGG